GAGCGGCAACAGCUCAAUUUGAAAGCUGGCUCCUUCGGGGUCCGCAUUGUAAUUUGGAGAGGAUGCUUCGGGUGCGGCCCCCGUCUAAGUGCUCUGGAACGGGCCGUCGGAGAGGGUGAGAAUCCCGUCUGGGGCGGGGAGACCCGCGCCCGUGUGAAGCUCCUUCGAAGAGUCGAUUGGUUUGGG
RNAcentral lists this ribosomal RNA (186 nucleotides) under uncultured Xerochrysium. RNAcentral's name for it is "partial 26S ribosomal RNA". It matches the Rfam family "Eukaryotic large subunit ribosomal RNA", at positions 96 to 278 of the family's 3401-position model. The record is from RNAcentral. Lineage: Eukaryota; Fungi; Ascomycota; Eurotiomycetes; Eurotiales; Trichocomaceae.